GGGCUCGGGAUAAGUAACAAUCUCCUGCUUCACUUCACAAAAUCUGAAAAGCUGCACGAUAUCCUUCUGUGAUUCAGCAACAAAUCGUACUGCAACUUUUUGGUCAGGUUCCAGACCCACCCACAGCACCCUUCCAGAUGAUUUUUACUCAAAAAUCAAACAGUGUUUAAAUAGAUCCUCGCCAUAAUUUGUUUUUCCCCUAUCACAAAAUUAACUAUGUUAGGAUUGAAGUUAGCUGCUAGGAUAAUCAUAAUUGUUGCUAACAGUCUCCUGCAAGAUUAAGUGAGCAAGGAAAAUGAUCCACACACCUCAUUUCUCUGUCACGGCUAUCAUUUUGGCAACACAAAUAUACAGGUGCCAAUCCAGUAAAACAUCUUGCACACCAACAGUUUCGUAAGAUGUCUAAGUGGUCUAAAUGUUGCAAACUGCAUGACCCGAUUCAACUGCACAAACACUCGCAGAACUCAGGCUUUUUUUUAAUAGGCUGCUAAUGUAUAGAUAUCAGGACCAAGAAAGUCCUAAUACACAGUACACAGAAAGAAAUUCCAAACCACAAUUACCGUAUUUCCCUACCUAUUGAAUAUUCUGUUCUAUUAAGAUAUUGCCAUUCUGAUACCAUUAUUUAAACUUGUAAUACUCAGUAAGCUGUUACUCAGAACUCAUGCUCUUUAAAGUGUUUUGUCAUACUCCAGCUUCAUUAAGAUGGGAUUACAACUCCAGAUCUUAUGGCCACAAACAAAACCAGGAAGACUAUAUAAGAGUGCAAAAUAGAAAGCAAACAAAUGUUGCUGCUUGUUUUACCCACUGAUAGCUGCAUCUUGAACUUUUUCUUCAAUGGGGAAUUCACGUCACCACUUCAUGAACUGCUGUUUUGACUCCAGCUCACAGUAGUGACACCACAUCUUGUAACCUGCAGUGAUGCAAUCCAGGAAACUGACACCUUCAGCCUUGUGUUGGUUCUAUAGGUCCUGACAAACUUCCAUACAGUGUUCUUUCUGUUCCUGUGUGAGCAUUCAUGGGACCCACCUGGCACAAACUCUGUGAUAUUCUAAUGUUUCCACCUUUGUUUCCAAUGCAUCAAAGCUGGUAUCAGUUCCAUACACGCACUUCCCUGGUUGUUACCUGCCAACUUACAUGGAUAAGACAACCAAGACACUCUUCAUCUUGUGGUGCAUGGCUGUUCAGAAUGUGGCUUCUCUUUCAUGACAAUGUCACUACCACUUAAAAUGCAACCCCCACCACCCCACUGUGCUCUCAUCCACUGUUUGAUCUCCAUUAACAUGGAGAUGUUGGUAGGUCAAGAUAAUAACCUAGGAGGCAUUAUUUUCUGAGCAGCCCUCAUAUAUGUUUUACUCUGAUAGGAAUUUUAAUGUUACUUUUAUCCUUGCUGAUAUUUGUCAUAAACAGUUACCUCAUAUAAUGCUGCCAAAAUCCCAGGUGGUAAGAACAUUCUUAACAUGGGAGACAAAAUAAAAUUAACUGUGAGUUAGGAAGCCUACAAAUUACAGCCCAAUUAUGUAACCUAUAUUUACAGCAUGUUUAAUCAGAAUUUUAAUUGCUUUUAUAGAUAUUAAUGCUUCAAUAUAUUAACAUAAACAAGCAUGCUUUGUACAACAGCAUUCCUUAUGAGCCAAUCCACAAAGUAAUGCUUUACACAACGGCCUUGUGGAAGUGACUACACUUAAGCCUUCAGUUCUGCAUGCUGAGACAAAUCAUAGGUUACUUUUGACAAUUUUUUCCCUUUUAAGGACAUAUUUAAAGCCAGAUCUAGCCCACAAAUGUAUUUCACAUUGGGCCAAGCAAUGUUAAGAAGAGAAAGACUUUUGAGUAGUUUCUAACUCAAGCUGCAAACAAACCAGCCAGGUAGACUGGAGAGUUGAUGGCUAGAGACUCCGACUCAUCUAUAAAACCUCAUGUUUUAGUCUUGCAGAUAUUAAAAGAUUAAUAGAAGUAUAGUGAAUUAACUGUAUGUUUAGUUUUACAUAUUGAUGUCAGCCUUGAUGACAGUAAGGAUUUGCUGGUUUUAAGUUACUGGAAAAUAUAACAAGGCAGAACAUAUAUACUGCAUUGCCUAACAGAAGAUACUGCUAAAACAGUCAUUUUUCCUUUCAUUAUUGUGCCAAACAAUCACCAAACAAAAUUGUCUUAGCAUAAAACUUGAUUUGAACAGCUGUUUCAACAAUAUAAUACAUAAUACCCACAAGAAUUCUCCUAAAAAAUCAUAGUUUUUCAUUGGAUAAGCUAUAAACAAAUUCAAAUACAGAGAGAUGUGACCUAUCAGUCUGCUCAAAGUGUGAUGUAUUUGUCCAGUGUUAAGAACGUUCCAUUGAUAUUCCUUUAUUUUAAGCCUCUCAGUACAUUCUGGAAUGAAGGAAAAAAAGAAAAGAAAGAGAGAAUGGUGACUUAGAGCUGAAGCCCAGACUAUCACAUGGCCAUGCUUGCCUAAAUUAUAGAUGCUUCAACCAGUUCUAUCUGCAGAGAAACCAGGUGGUUCAGGAGCACUGUGGCAAGAGAUGGACUGUAUGAAGGGCAAGCGCUUAUGACUAUUAGAUUAGGUAAUCCCAAGACCCCAGAACAUAUCCCUGAGCAGCUUUUCCACAUAUCCAGGUCACAAAGGAGAGGCAGUAAAUCCCGAUAAUCUACAGAGGUGGCACAGCAUGGGCAGAUCAGUAAGUACCAACUCCUUAACUAUAAAAAGGCACACCCCAACCCAGCACAUGAAAGAGGCCACAAAGAUCCAAGGACUGUGUUCCUUGUUUUAAGCAUCAUCAAAUAAAAUCCUGUAUAUAUAACUUGAACACAUGCGCAUCUUGAUGGCAGUCAGGAAGACAGACUACUUGGUCUCACACUCCUCUUGUGUACUCAAACACCCAGAUGUACAUGUACACACAACCAAAAAAAUUGUUGUAAAACAGAACCAUCUUUUUCCUCCUCUGAGGUCUCCAAAUUUGCUACAUCACUGACAAUUAUGAAACACUUCCUCAGUCUCGAGGAGAAGAAUAAGUUUUGUAGGCUCUGGAUUUGGCUUGGAACUACAGUUAUCAACAAAAGGCUGGCAGUCAUCAAAAAGGCUUAGGAGAGGCGUAAGGAAGAUUUUCCAUAGCAUGCGUUUGAAACCAGAUCUUUCUCUCUCUCACACAAAAAAAACCAAACUCCAAACCAACAACAUAAAAUACAACAACACCAUUCUCAUAAAAAUCCCCAAGUGUUUUGAGCACUAAAGCAUUGAAAUAAACUCCAGCUUAUCAGAGAUACUCUUUCCCGUCUUAUGCUGUCCACAAACAGAUUUCCAGAUCAAAGAAUUGUAGCCUAUGAAUUUCAGCUAGUACUAUUUGUAAGCUCUGUGAUAAGAUCUACCCAUUCCUAAUUAAAACAAAAGGGUAGGUUAACAGAACAACAUUCAGACUCGUCCUUUAAUGUGCUCUUUUACCCUUAUUGAUUUUUUUAACGUUUCUAGUCACCUUGUUUCUUAGACCUAAUGUUAAACUUAAUAUCUUCUAUCUACUGCAAUGUCUUAUGUACAGCUUGUUUUUGAAGAAGUUACUGGUGUUUCCUUCUUGUUAGUUACAGAGAAAAACCUUCUGUUCUGAAUUGCUUCCAAAAAUUAAAGUAUUGUCAAAUCU
This 3623-nucleotide long non-coding RNA is filed under the name Gallus gallus (chicken). Its description in RNAcentral is "lncRNA (ENSGALG00010006859.1)". The record is from RNAcentral. Lineage: Eukaryota; Metazoa; Chordata; Aves; Galliformes; Phasianidae.